UACGUAGGGUGCAAGCGUUAAUCGGAAUUACUGGGCGUAAAGCGUGCGCAGGCGGUGAUGUAAGACAGAUGUGAAAUCCCCGGGCUCAACCUGGGAACUGCAUUUGUGACUGCAUCGCUGGAGUGCGGCAGAGGGGGAUGGAAUUCAGCGUGUAGCAGUGAAAUGCGUAGAUAUGCGGAGGAACACCGAUGGCGAAGGCAAUCCCCUGGGCCUGCACUGACGCUCAUGCACGAAAGCGUGGGGAGCAAACAGG
Molecule: ribosomal RNA, 253 nt
Filed under: uncultured bacterium
Lineage: Bacteria
Description: partial 16S ribosomal RNA
Rfam family: Bacterial small subunit ribosomal RNA
Source: RNAcentral